Molecule: transfer RNA, 74 nt
Filed under: Streptomyces hygroscopicus subsp. jinggangensis TL01
Lineage: Bacteria; Bacillati; Actinomycetota; Actinomycetes; Kitasatosporales; Streptomycetaceae
Description: tRNA-Cys
Source: RNAcentral
GCCUCGUCGUCCGCUCGAAGGAGAAGGGGUCGUCCCGAUCCCCUUACACUCCUGGUGGAGUGGCCGAGAGGCGA